RNAcentral lists this ribosomal RNA (468 nucleotides) under uncultured bacterium. RNAcentral describes it as "partial 16S ribosomal RNA". It matches the Rfam family "Bacterial small subunit ribosomal RNA", at positions 28 to 507 of the family's 1533-position model. The record is from RNAcentral.
GACGAACGCUGGCGGCGUGCUUAACACAUGCAAGUCGAACGGACAGGCCCUGCUCUUGUGGGGUGCUCGAGUGGCGAACGGGUGAGUAACACGUGAGUAACCUGCCCUUGACUUUGGGAUAACUUCAGGAAACUGGGGCUAAUACCGGAUAGGAGCUCCUGCUGCAUGGUGUGGGUUGGAAAGUUUCGGCGGUUGGGGAUGGACUCGCGGCUUAUCAGCUUGUUGGUGGGGUAGUGGCUUACCAAGGCUUUGACGGGUAGCCGGCCUGAGAGGGUGACCGGCGACAAUGGGACUGAGAUACGGCCCAGACGCCUACGGGAGGCAGCAGUGGGGAGUAUUGCACAAUGGGCGGAAGCCUGAUGCAGCAACGCCGCGUGCGGGAAGACGGCCUUCGGGUUGUAAACCGCUUUCGCCUGUGACGAAGCGUGAGUGACGGUAAUGGGUAAAGAAGCACCGGCUAACUACGUG